RNAcentral lists this ribosomal RNA (499 nucleotides) under uncultured bacterium. RNAcentral describes it as "partial 16S ribosomal RNA". It matches the Rfam family "Bacterial small subunit ribosomal RNA", at positions 28 to 507 of the family's 1533-position model. The record is from RNAcentral.
GACGAACGCUGGCGGCGUGCCUAAUACAUGCAAGUCGAGCGGAUCGACCAGGAGCUUGCUCUUGUUCGGUUAGCGGCGGACGGGUGAGUAACACGUGGGUAACCUGCCCGUAAGACCGGGAUAACUCCGGGAAACCGGAGCUAAUACCGGAUAACACCGAAGACCGCAUGGUCUUUGGUUGAAAGGCGGCUUCGGCUGCCACUUACGGAUGGGCCCGCGGCGCAUUAGCUAGUUGGUGAGGUAACGGCUCACCAAGGCGACGAUGCGUAGCCGGCCUGAGAGGGUGACCGGCCACACUGGGACUGAGACACGGCACAGACUCCUACGGGAGGCAGCAGGAGGGAAUCUUCCGCAAUGGACGAAAGUCUGACGGAGCGACGCCGCGGGAGCGAAGAAGGUCGUCGGAUCGUAAAGCUCUGUUGUUAGGGAAGAAGAAGCGUCGUUCGAACAGGGCGGCGCGGUGACGGUACCUAACGAGAAAGCCCCGGCUAACUACGUG